This 585-nucleotide ribosomal RNA is filed under the name uncultured Sphingobacteriia bacterium. RNAcentral's name for it is "bacterial SSU rRNA". It matches the Rfam family "Bacterial small subunit ribosomal RNA", at positions 330 to 915 of the family's 1533-position model. Lineage: Bacteria; Pseudomonadati; Bacteroidota; Sphingobacteriia. The record is from RNAcentral.
CAGGUACUCCUACGGGAGGCAGCAGUGAGGAAUAUUGGUCAAUGGACGCAAGUCUGAACCAGCCAUGCCGCGUGAAGGAUGAAGGCGUUCUGCGUUGUAAACUUCUUUUAUCUGGGAAGAAACCUACCUUUUCUAAGGUAGCCGACGGUACCAGAGGAAUAAGCACCGGCUAACUCCGUGCCAGCAGCCGCGGUAAUACGGAGGGUGCAAGCGUUAUCCGGAUUCACUGGGUUUAAAGGGUGUGUAGGCGGGUAUUUAAGUCCGAGGUGAAAUCUCUGAGCUCAACUCAGAAACUGCCUUGGAUACUAUUUAUCUUGAAUAUCGUUGAGGUAGGCGGAAUAUGUCAUGUAGCGGUGAAAUGCAUAGAUAUGACAUAGAACACCAAUUGCGAAGGCAGCUUGCUAAACGAUGAUUGACGCUGAGGCACGAAAGCGUGGGGAUCAAACAGGAUUAGAUACCCUGGUAGUCCACGCCCUAAACGAUGAUUACUCGACAUACGCGAUAUACAGUGUGUGUCUGAGCGAAAGCAUUAAGUAAUCCACCUGGGAAGUACGACCGCAAGGUUGAAACUCAAAGGAAUUGACG